UGGCCUGCGUUAUCAGUGACACCCUGGG
This 28-nucleotide non-coding RNA is filed under the name Homo sapiens (human). The record is from RNAcentral. Lineage: Eukaryota; Metazoa; Chordata; Mammalia; Primates; Hominidae.